Molecule: ribosomal RNA, 482 nt
Filed under: uncultured bacterium
Lineage: Bacteria
Description: partial 16S ribosomal RNA
Rfam family: Bacterial small subunit ribosomal RNA
Source: RNAcentral
AUUGAACGCUGGCGGCAUGCUUUACACAUGCAAGUCGAACGGCAGCGCGGGCUUCGGCCUGGCGGCGAGUGGCGAACGGGUGAGUAAUACAUCGGAACGUGCCCAGUAGUGGGGGAUAGCUCGGCGAAAGCCGGAUUAAUACCGCAUACGACCUGAGGGUGAAAGCGGGGGAUCUUCGGACCUCGCGCUAUUGGAGCGGCCGAUGGCAGAUUAGCUAGUUGGUGGGGUAAAGGCCUACCAAGGCGACGAUCUGUAGCUGGUCUGAGAGGACGACCAGCCACACUGGGACUGAGACACGGCCCAGACCCCUACGGGAGGCAGCAGUGGGGAAUUUUGGACAAUGGGCGAAAGCCUGAUCCAGCAAUGCCGCGUGUGUGAUGAAGGCCUUCGGGUUGUAAAGCACUUUUGGCGGGAACGAAAAGGACUGUGCCAAUACCACGGUUCGAUGACGGUACCCGCAGAAUAAGCACCGGCUAACUACG